Molecule: ribosomal RNA, 350 nt
Filed under: uncultured bacterium
Lineage: Bacteria
Description: bacterial SSU rRNA
Rfam family: Bacterial small subunit ribosomal RNA
Source: RNAcentral
AAUCAACGCUGGCGGCGUGCCUCAGACAUGCAAGUCGAACGCGAAAGUCCCCUUCGGGGACGAAGUAGAGUGGCGCACGGGUGAGUAACACGUAGGUAAUCUACCUUCGGAUGGGGAAUAACAACCGGAAACGGUUGCUAAUACCGCAUAAUGCAGCGGCACCUAAUGGUGACAGUUGUUAAAGCGGGGGAGUCGAAAGACCUCGCGUCUGAAGAGGAGCCUGCGGCGGAUUAGCUAGNGGUAAGGUAAUGGCUUACCAAGGCUACGAUCCGUAACCGGCCUGAGAGGGCGGUCGGUCACACUGACACUGACAUACGGGUCAGACUCCUACGGGAGGCAGCAGUCGGGAA